Long non-coding RNA from Triticum aestivum (bread wheat), 7833 nucleotides. RefSeq lists it as uncharacterized. The transcript is spliced from 5 exons. The record is from RefSeq and is a predicted model, not a curated record. Lineage: Eukaryota; Viridiplantae; Streptophyta; Magnoliopsida; Poales; Poaceae.
CCCUCGUUCCCACAACAGAUCGAUCCCUCGUUCUCACAGCAGAUCGAUCCCCUCGAUCCAGUAGACUCGCCCAACCAUCCUCUCCUUGAUACCCUCGCACGCGCUAGGGUUCCUGUGCCGCCGCCACACGUGAGCUUGUCGACCAGCCCAACGUCCUCCGGAUCGCCGCCACCCCUCUCCGGAUCGCCGCCGUCACCGCCCCGGAUCGCUGCCUUCGCCGUCAUCCGGAUCGCCGCCGUCGCCGUCGGAAUCGCCGCCAACGUCUCGUCGCCUCGGAUCGCCGCCGUCGCCGUCGGGAUGGCUGCAGCCGUCUCUCCAGAUCGCACGGGCGUUCAUCGUCUCCGGCCUCGCCGUUGUCGUUCCCGUAUCUGCCCUCACCCGAAACCUAAUGUGCACGCAAUCUUCGUGUCGCUUCUUCCUUGUGUUCCAUGUCGGCGGCUAGGCCCUCUGGUCCGGCUGUCCCUGGUUUUCUCUACCGCCAACGCCUCAAUUCUGCCCCUCCCCCACACAUCCCUCCCUCUCACGACCGUCACAGCCAUCAUCGCGGUGUCAGUCAACUCCUGCCCCGACCUCCAUCAUGUAUUUGUAGAAGAUGGUGACGCGUGAUGAGUGGCUCAAGGUCCGCAAGGAGGGGAUGAAAUUCCUCAUCACGUUGGACUUCAUCGACGCCGCGGACAGGGUCUCCAUCCGGUACCCAACGUGAACGGACAUUGGGUUCAGAUUUCAGACGGAGAACUUUAGGAGACUAUCGACAGGACCAACGAUCUUAACCCCACUGUUCGGUUCUGAUUCUGUUUCUCCUAAUUUUGGUUUGUAUUUCGGUGUUUUGUUAUAGAAAAAGUCGAUGGAGGAGGAGUAAUAUCUUACAAUUUUGGCUAACUUUGUUGUACGCCAACAUAAUUUUUCUUUGUAUCUGAAAAUUUCAGGGAGAACACAGAAGCAUUCGCGCCUCAUGAUUUCUGCAUCAUACUUAACGAACUUCAAAUUACUGAUCUUUGUAAUCAAUCUUUUUUUUUAUAUAAUUCUGCAUAGGAGGCAUUGAGCAUGUGUGUGUGUGUGUCAUGCUUGGUCAUAUUGAUUUUCUUGAAAAAAAAUUGGCAGGUUCCAGUUACUGAUUUUUGCAUGAGUUGUGUUUUUAUUGGAUAAAAUGUCACAAGCAAGCCGAGUCCACAGGUGAAUUUCUUCAGGCACAUCAGUGCAAAAUAAUGAAGGGGAGCCUUGGCGCAGUGGUAAAGCUGCUGCCUUGUGACCAUGAGGUCAUGGGUUCAAGUCCUGGAAACAGCCUCUUACAGAAAUGUAGGGAAAGGCUGCGUACUAUAGACCCAAAGUGGUCGGACCCUUCCCUGGACCCUGCGCAAGCGGGAGCUACAUGCACCAGGUUGCCCUUUUUACAUCAGUGCAAAAUAAUAAUAUGACAAUUGAUAGUCUCUCCACUGUUUUCCACACAAGUUGGAAGAGAAAAUAAUGGCAUGUAAACACAUUUACUUUUUGCUGUUUGUAGGGCACCGUGAUACAUGUCCCUGUCAGGCCGUUUGUUUGUUUUGUUAGUCCUCCCAUGUCAUCCUCUUUUGUCAGGUCGUAUAGAUUCAACAACUUGAGGCUCGCCCAUGGUCAAUUGGACCAGAAGAGUUGGUUUCCUUAUUCUCUUCUAUUUCCAUCUGUUCCGAUCCGAUCCGAUGGCCGGUGGUGUGGUUGCAUUGCACGACCCCAUAAGUGGGGUUCAAAGAUCACCGUCACUGGCUGUGUGAGGCCACGAAUGUCAUCUUGGUCCCCUUACUACUAUAGUCCUGAUCCACGAUUGUCAUCUUGGUCCCCUGUAUGAGUUAAUUACAUGAUGUUGUGUUCUCAAGUUUUACUCUGAAUUUGUUAGAUGCUGGAUGAAAUUCACAGCUAAGCAAUUUUUUCGUAUGUCUUACCAGUGGUGGAAGGAAGAUUGAACUGAUAAAUUUCUGCAACCACCUUGAGGUCCAUAACUUUCUCCUAAUUAUAUGCAGCCCAAUUCGUAAAGAUGUAUUUGUUUGCGGGAGAGGACUGCCUAUGAUCAGAAGCAAACAACAUGUGACCAUCAUAUGUGUGAGAGAUGGGAUUCUUUGUCUGCUAGAGAGGCUGGUGCCAAAUCAACAUAGGAGCAAGGGCAGGAUAAGGGGACUGAGGUGAAGUCUUUUCUUCUCCGUCUCUAUGGUAUGCUGAUACGUUCAAACCUGCAUUUUAACUAUUGAUACCUAUAAUUCAUUGAUUAGCAUUUUAACUACUGCAAUUGAUUUAUGAAAAAUUGUUAGGUUGUAGUAUCUAUCUAACAUCUGGAAGAGAAAAAAUGUGAUGAACAUUUUUUUCACAAGGUUAUGUAUAUCUAUCUUUAAAAUGUGGUACAGAGAGCAGAAGGUUUUAAAUGCUUGCAAAUCCACUUUUAUGAGCAGCACCUGGGUCCAAUGAACCAAAUAUGCAAGCACGCAUGACAAUGAUGUUUUUUCUUCUCCAUUAGUGAAUCUUCCUUUUCUAAGUCAUAUUUAGUUAGGAAGGCACCUAUCUAGAUUUUCUGAGAGGUUGCGAGUGAUCAGAACUGAACAUUUUUAUUAUGUCUACCAUGCCUUUCAUCUGCUUUGCUCUUCUACUUCUGUAUAGUUAUCGUUAAUUAUGUAAUACAUGUACAAGCCAUUUGGUCAGAUACAAUCCUUUUGUUAAUUUAUAAAUUCUGUUGAAAGAGAUCUAAUUAGUUGGCACAAUUCAUAAUGUUUUGCAGUAUAUUGAUUAUCCUUUCAUCAUUAAUUUUUUAUGCUGUCGUGUCCCUCUUUGGUGUUGAGGAACUCUGACAAUCGAUAACAAUUUAUGGUGGAACGUCGAUGCUAUCGGAAUUUUUGAAAACUAAAUGCUUUCAGAUCAUAUUAUGUUGCUUGCCACUGGGAGUAAAAGAAUAAGCAAAGGCAUAUCUCAGUUCGUCAUGCUCUUGCUCUGUUUGUAUAGAUGUUUAUGUUAGAUAAAAUCUACGUUGUCGUAUCAUCAAUGUUAGAUAUCAUCUAUUGUUCUACAAUGUAUCCUUGCAAAAACAUGCAGACUCUUUGUGUUGGAUCUCUUAUUGUUGCCCAGUCUAAAUGUAUGACAUAUAACUAUGGCUCAUUUAUGCUUAUUGAAUUUGAGUUGACAUUUUAGAUUGACAAUUUACUUUACAAUAGAAACCAUUGCUCUGUUUGUAGGUUUCAGCCGGAUAUGUAAAAUAUCCCAUAUAGGAAUAGUGUAAUCUUCAAGUUUCCUCAUUACAGGCAUAAAAUAAUCCGCAUCAUGUUUACUCAAAAUCUCAAAUGUAUUUACAUAUGGGUGCAUGUUCUCUGCUUCUUACUAAAUAUGAUCCUGAUGUUUAAUGGAGAAAUAAAUAUUAAGUGCACACAUAAUGCAGUUUUGUGAGGGCAGGAAAGAAACAAAUCUUUAUAUUGGUUCGGGACUGACUGCCCAUUGGGCCAUCUUCUUAUUUUGUUUUAGGGUCCUUGCCUUUUAUGCAUGUUUUUCGCUGCAGGACAUGCUUCCUGUCUGUUUGUAAUUUCUCUUAGGUCCUUAGUGAAGAAAUGAACCAUGGAAUCUGUAAAAAUUAAAACAUUGGUAGGACACUGUUUUAUAUCCAUAAUUUUAAUUUCUUUAGGUCACUACGCUGUAAUCAAAUGAGGAGUGUGUUCUUUGAAGUCGUCGUACUUGUGUGAAUUGAUUCCUUGAACCAAUACUUAAUAUCUGUUGUAUGUAGAUGAGAGAGAUAGUGGUGCAUGUCUAUCACUGCCAUCACUACUUCUUCCGGCUGCCGCUACCAUCGUCCCCUCCCCUGAGCUCUCUGGAUCUGGUGGGCUUUUGCAGUUAGCCGAGGCUCCGUUGGUUGUUGAAUUUUGCCGAUCUUCCAUGUUGUUUGUGGCUUGCCACCAGCCUGACAAGAAGCUGGUUAUUGCAUACAUCCUUUGCAAGUUAAAAUAUUGUGAAGGUCAAUAGGAGGUAUUUCAAUGGAACUUGAUUGUGCAGAUUUUCUUGAACUAAAGCUCGCUAAUAAAAUUGAACUUUCUAUGCGUGAAAUGGAUUCCGCCAAGAUAUAGCAAAAGUAGGCAAUGACAUGUUUUAUGUCACUCUUCAUUAGGGAUUGGCUAAACACAUAAUUAAGAUACUACUAGAAGUUCCAUCAAAAAGUUACUAAAUGUUUUUGUAACAUUUAUGCACAAAAAAGAGUUGCGGAACUGCCAUAAAUUGUAUGCUCUUUGCAAAAUGAUUGCACUAAAAAAGUCUGGAAUAACAUUCCUUUUUAUUUCUUAUAAAGCAAGUUGCGGAACUGCCAUAAAUUGUAUGCUCUUUGCACAAUGAUUGCACUAAAAAAGUCUGGAAUAACAUUCCUUUUUAUUUCUUAUAAAGCAAGUUGCAGAACUACCCUAAAUUGUAUGGUCCUUGCAAAAUGACUGCACUAAAAAAAAUCUGGAAUAAUAUUCCUUCUUAUUUUUUAUAAAGGAGGUCCCUGGAGUAGUGUUACAGAUGGGAAGAGGUAAUCAGUAAUCAAUAUCCUCCCCUUCAUUUUUAGGUGCUGCUUAUGUGAUAACUCAUGUGAGUGUUAUAAGUGUUUACUACAUUCAUUAUUCAGGCAAAUGAGCAAGAUAAUAGCAGCAAUCAACGGUCAGCUGAUCAUACAGAAUAUUCAGAAGCUAGCUCUCUUUUAUCUACUGCGAGAACACCCACUACACUUCUACAGGCUAAUAAGGUAUUUCCUCUUCUAAGAAGAAAUCCUUUCUACCUUUUGCUAUCGUUUUCUUAGUUGUAAUAAUGAAAACUCAGUACGUUCCAGUGUAUCUUCUGUACUAAUGGUCUCAGUAGGCACCAGUGUAUCUUCUGUACUGAUGGUGUAACACUAUGUUCCCUCUAUAUGGCUUCAGACUGUUGCUAUUUGAUCUGUAAUGCCAAUAUGACUGCCAUGUGUACUCUAUGAAUUGCACAAGCUAACUUACUUCUACCUAUCCAACCUACGAGUUUCAAUGUGAUGCUAGAAGUUAAAACUACAAGAAAAGUGAUUUGCUUCAACAAGUACAUGUUCCGUGUUUCAGUAACCACUCUUGACUGAGUGUUCCAUCUAUAAAAAAUUGCUGCUCGCUUGAAUGUAUAUUUCCUUUUUGUUCCAUCGCCGCUGCAAAAAUGAUUCAUCUUGAUAAUUAGACAAACCGAGCCUGUCAGUAAAUAAAAACGUUCAACUUUUUCCACUUUGAAAAAUUUUAACGCCACCUGGAACGUUUCCAAUCAAGCACGAAAAAUGCCUACAAAUAAUACAAAUAUUACUUAAAACGAUAAUAGAAAUUACCAUGAGUGCCAGACACAAAACCUUCCACAGGACAUCUCCUUUUUCUUGCUGCAUCUUCUCGCAUUGCAGUUCGCAGGUUGUUGAUAAGACUUUAGAUCCUUUAUGAAUGGAUCUUCAUAUUUUUUUCUCAUAUGGUUGCAAACAUCCCUUACUCCAUGUCAACACUGUGUCACCACCGCUCUACUAUUGCUCAUCAGUCACACUGGACUUAAUAGUAACACAAUUGUAAAUCCGUGGAGUUAGACAGUACUUUACACUACUUCUCAAUAGAUGCGUAAAGAAAUCAUAACCUUAAUAACUUAUAUAAUUUUCCAUUGUGUUUAAUUUCCAUUUGCUCCAUAUUUUCUCAGAGACGUUUAAUUUGCGAUUACUCCGGCUUUUUUGUACAACUUUGAUAGAAGGAGUUGUCAUGUUUGUAUUGUGUGUUGGAUGAUACUUAUGAAGGAUAUUUUAAAUAUCAAGGACCGCGUGAAGCGCGACACCCGCGUAAAUAUCUCAGUUCUACUCUCAUCUUUGCAUUGGCUCUGGUGUACGGCUGCACACGGUUGCGGCCAAGCGUCUGUCGAUGAUUGCUGAGCACGACAAGGUGACCCAAGGGAGAUGGAGGAAGACCAGGUUAAGUCAGUGAACUGCUCUAUAUGGAAUUGCUACAAAAAAUCAUGUCAAUUUCCUCUACUGUGCCUCCACUCUAUAAGGAAAAAAACCCUGGUAUAUUCUCUAGCUUGUUGGAUUCAUAAUAGAACCCUAAAAAGAUUGGUUUGAUUUGUAACAUAUUAUCUACAAAAAAUGAUUUUGUGCACAUUAGCAUUUUCUAAAGUUAGCAUUACUUACAUGCCCUUUGUGUGCUCAAGAAAUAUAUGGAUAAUCUUUUGCUAGCCGAACGAAUAACAAUGGCCUGUUACUGUGUGAAGGAGUGACCUCUUUCUGAAGAUAUUUAAUUCACCAUGCUUAUUCAGGUGCGAGUUCUGUUUUUGACUGAGAUAUUUUUCCACUUUCUCCAUGUUAAACAAUAACUUAGUGUUCAAUUAUUGUAUGUGUGUGUUAGACGAGUUGUUUUGUUCCAUGUUUAGGUUGAAGUAGUUGUUUGAGUGCAUUAGCCUUUUCAUUUUCUAUUGUGGCAGUUCAUCUUAUUUAAUCUUGAUGUCCUUAAAUUGCUCUAUUCACAUAUUUGCCAAGAUUUCGAGUUUGAUUUCUACCUGUGUAGCUAUGCUGGCAUUCAGGUUAGCUUUCUCUAUAUAAUUGUUGCAUUCCAUUUAUUUUAUUUUUAUUACUACACCUUGUGAUGGAAUGGUCUGAUUGCUGAUCCGGUGUUCUUGCAUUAGCGAUGAAGUAGAUGAGUGACAAGGAUGAACAUAACAAAGGGGUGCAAUGUGGUUAGCGAUGAAGGGCAAGGAAGAUGAAGACACUUUUUGUCAUUCGAUGUCUAUUUAUAUUUUUUGUUAUCUUAUUGUUAUUUUUGUUCCGUUGAAACAAAUGGGCGCUUAAAAAGGAAAUAAUUUCAACUAAAAUUUCCAAUUUUUGGCCACCUAUGUACAUUCGACAUCACUUACAUAUAUCGUCUGAUGUUUGUUUUAAUGCUUCAUGUCCUAUUGCUUAUCUUGCUCCAAGUUCAUGAUAUGCGGUGCUGCUCCUAUUACGGAAAGCAUACCAGAUAGAAAAUUUCCCUAUGCUUUCAAGAUAAUGUUCCUUUUAAGAUUGUAGAGCAAGAUGAAAUAUUUUGAAACGGCAACAGUGCUAGAGAAAGGUGGAUGAUGUGUAGGAAAACGAGGGGUGGAGAAAAACAUGUGACUUGUCUUCUCAAAAUUAGAGGAGGAUUGAAGAGAUAACCUGCCAAGGAUGAAAGUGCGGAUGAAGAGAGCAGAUGUAGAGGGGAAGGAAGGGUGGAGAAAAAUAUGCCACUUGUCUUCUUAAGUAGAAGAUGGUUUGAAGGGAUAUGACAACCGCCGAGGAGGAACUAAGCAUGAAAAAGAUUUAACUCACAUUUAUGAAAUAUAACAAAUGUUUGACAGUGUCUUCUUUAUUCUUUGGCAAUGCAUAGGUAGCGGCGGUUGGGCUAGAGUUACCGAGCGUCGAUGUCGUCGGCUACCUGGUGGCCUCUGACAGUGGAGAAUGGGCUCCCUUCAGCAUUACAAUCCACUACAAGAAGAUGGCCAAGUGAAACAGUAUCGACAGACCAUCACGGCAAGGAGGUUGAGUUGAGAAAAGUGUACUUCCAUCGAAGGAAUGCUUCUCCUUGGGGCUGAUUGCAUUGGCCAUGCUAAGCACCAGAGGAGAGGCAAAGUAACAAAGACAAACAAAAAAAAAGCAUUUUGUAUAUUUUUUUAAUUGAUUAUAGAUUUUACCGUGUGCAUGUACUUCAUGUUGCUGAAUUGCAUUAGUAAAGUUCCUCCAUUGAUAAGUGGCCAAAUAGGUUCUCUAAACCUUCUGCUAGGCCUUCCUUGUGAAUGAUGGUGUAAACUGUUUCAAGUAGAUACACAUAUGUGGGUAAAAAGUAUCAUAUUACAACAAAUCACUUGGUGUUGGAC